This 345-nucleotide ribosomal RNA is filed under the name uncultured bacterium. RNAcentral's name for it is "partial 16S ribosomal RNA". It matches the Rfam family "Bacterial small subunit ribosomal RNA", at positions 338 to 683 of the family's 1533-position model. The record is from RNAcentral.
ACUACGGGAGGCAGCAGUGGGGAAUAUUGCACAAUGGGGGAAACCCUGAUGCAGCGACGCCGCGUGAGUGAAGAAGUAUUUCGGUACGUAAAGCUCUAUCAGCAGGGAAGAAAAAAAGUCCUUUGGACUUUGGACGGUACCUGACCAAGAAGCCCCGGCUAACUACGUGCCAGCAGCCGGGGUAAUACGUAGGGGGCAAGAGUUAUCCGGAUUUAAUGGGUGGAAAGGGGGCGUAGACGGCAGCGCAAGUCUGGAGUGAAAUGCCGGGGCCCAACCCCGGAAGUGCUUUGGAAACUAUGCAGCUGGAGUGCAGGAGAGGUAAGUGGAAUUCCUAGUGUAGCGGUG